GACGAACCGUCCAAACGUUAUUCGGUAUCACUGGGGCUUAAAGCGUGCGUAGGCGGUCUAGUAGGUGAGAUGUGAAAGCCCACGGCUCAACCGUGGAAUUGCGUUUCAAACCACUAGGCUUGAGGAUGGCAGGGGUGAUGGGAACUGAUGGUGGAGCGGUGAAAUGCAUUGAUAUCAUCAGGAACACCGGUGGCGAAGGCGCAUCACUGGGCCAUUUCUGACGCUGAGGCACGAAAGCUAGGGUAGCGAACGGGAUUAGAUA
RNAcentral lists this ribosomal RNA (262 nucleotides) under uncultured prokaryote. Its description in RNAcentral is "partial 16S ribosomal RNA". It matches the Rfam family "Bacterial small subunit ribosomal RNA", at positions 524 to 784 of the family's 1533-position model. The record is from RNAcentral.